Molecule: ribosomal RNA, 465 nt
Filed under: uncultured bacterium
Lineage: Bacteria
Description: partial 16S ribosomal RNA
Rfam family: Bacterial small subunit ribosomal RNA
Source: RNAcentral
GACGAACGCUGGCGGCGUGCUUAACACAUGCAAGUCGUACGGUAAGGCCCUUUCGGGGGUACACGAGUGGCGAACGGGUGAGUAACACGUGAAUAACCUGCCCACAACUUUGGGAUAACGCUAGGAAACUGGUGCUAAUACUGGAUAUGUGCCCCUGCUGCAUGGUGGGGGUUGGAAAGCUCCGGCGGUUGUGGAUGGACUCGCGGCCUAUCAGCUUGUUGGUGGGGUAGUGGCCUACCAAGGCGGCGACGGGUAGCCGGCCUGAGAGGGUGACCGGCCACAUUGGGACUGAGAUACGGCCCAGACUCCUACGGGAGGCAGCAGUGGGGAAUAUUGCACAAUGGGCGCAAGCCUGAUGCAGCAACGCCGCGUGCAGGAUGACGGCCUUCGGGUUGUAAACCGCUUUCAGCAGGGACGAAGCUUUUUGUGACGGUACCUGCAGAAGAAGCACCGGCUAACUACGUG